Molecule: ribosomal RNA, 253 nt
Filed under: uncultured prokaryote
Description: partial 16S ribosomal RNA
Rfam family: Bacterial small subunit ribosomal RNA
Source: RNAcentral
ACGGAGGGUGCGAGCGUUAAUCGGAAUUACUGGGCGUAAAGCGCACGUAGGCGGUCAUGUAAGUGGGAUGUGAAACCCCCGGGCUUAACCUGGGACUUGCAUACCAGACUGCAUGGCUAGAGUAUGAGAGAGGGUGGUGGAAUUUCCGGUGUAGCGGUGAAAUGCGUAGAUAUUGGGAAGAACACCCGAGGCGAAGGCGGGUUGCUGGGCCGACACUGACGCUGAGGCGCGAAAGCCAGGGGAGCAAACGGGA